CCUACGGGUGGCAGCAGUGAGGAAUAUUGGUCAAUGGGCGCGAGCCUGAACCAGCCACGCAGCGUGAAGGAUGACUGCCUUACGGGUUGUAAGCUUCUUUUAUAAAGGAAUAAAGUGAGGCACGUGUGCCUUUUUGUAUGUACUUUAUGAAUCAGGCUCGGCUAACUCCGUGCCAGCAGCCGCGGUAAUACGGAGGUUCCGAGCGUUAUCCGGAUUUAUUGGGUUUAAAGGGAGCGUAGAUGGGUUGUUAAGUCAGUUGUGAAAGUUUGCGGCUCAACCGUAAAAUUGCAAUUGAUACUGGCAGCCUUGAGUGCAGUUGAGGCAGGCGGAAUUCGUGGUGUAGCGGUGAAAUGCGUAGAUAUCACGAAGAACUCCAAUUGCGAAGGCAGCCUACUAAACUGCCACUGACAUUGAUGCUCGAAAGUGUGGGUAUCAAACAGGAUUAGAUACCCGAGUAGUC
This 460-nucleotide ribosomal RNA is filed under the name uncultured bacterium. RNAcentral describes it as "partial 16S ribosomal RNA". It matches the Rfam family "Bacterial small subunit ribosomal RNA", at positions 338 to 795 of the family's 1533-position model. The record is from RNAcentral.